ACAAGCGGUGGAGCAUGUGGUUAAUUCGAAGCAACGCGAAGAACCUUACCAGGUCUUGACAUCCCCUGACAACCCGAGAGAUCGGGCGUUCCCCUUCGGGGGACAGGGUGACAGGUGGUGCAUGGUUGUCGUCAGCUCGUGUCGUGAGAUGUUGGGUUAAGUCCCGCAACGAGCGCAACCCUCGACCUUAGUUGCCAGCAUUCAGUUGGGCACUCUAAGGUGACUGCCGGCUAAAAGUCGGAGGAAGUGGGGAUGACGUCAAAUCAUCAUGCCCCUUAUGACCUGGGCUACACACGUGCUACAAUGGGCGGUACAAAGGGUCGCGAACCCGCGAGGGGGAGCCAAUCCCAAAAAGCCGCUCUCAGUUCGGAUUGCAGGCUGCAACUCGCCUGCAUGAAGCCGGAAUCGCUAGUAAUCGCAGGUCAGCAUACUGCGGUCGAAUACGUUCCCGGGCCUU
This 457-nucleotide ribosomal RNA is filed under the name uncultured Anoxybacillus sp. Its description in RNAcentral is "bacterial SSU rRNA". It matches the Rfam family "Bacterial small subunit ribosomal RNA", at positions 925 to 1382 of the family's 1533-position model. Lineage: Bacteria; Bacillati; Bacillota; Bacilli; Caryophanales; Anoxybacillaceae. The record is from RNAcentral.